Molecule: long non-coding RNA, 490 nt
Organism: Ursus maritimus (polar bear)
Lineage: Eukaryota; Metazoa; Chordata; Mammalia; Carnivora; Ursidae
Source: Ensembl
GUUGAAAUCAUCAAAUAGGUAUUUUGCUCACUUCUCCUUCUUGAUACUUACAAGGAUAACUCUCUCCUUCCAAAGACCAUGCUUAUGGCCAAAGAGAUGUCAACAAAAAUGACUGCUGUCCCUUCUGGGCUGACAUAUUGAGUUUCUGAUGCAGACGAUUCCAUGCUCUCGUUUCCUGCGGAGUGGACCAUGGAGCGUUGCGUUGAGAGCCCAAGAACUUGCCAGUCAAGAUGAAAAACUUCUUCUAAUGGAAUCCAGCUUGAAAGCUACUCAAGAGCAGCUAACUGAGCAAAUAGCAGAAACAGUUCGCCAAGAACAGAACAGUAGAAAACCCCAGGCAGAGCUGAAGACAGUGACAGAAGGGAUUAUUGCUUCUGAAGAAGAAAAAAAUGAUUACAAGUGAGUUGCUUUUUAGUAUUUCAGAAAGUUUUACUUUACAUACUAAAAUCAAGUCAAUCCUUUGACUUUCGUUGCUAAAUAUUUAACUCUG